AACUGAUUCUUUUCUGAAAGGUUUUUGUUGGUUUGCUUUUCCUUUCAAGAGAAGAACAUACAAGUGAGAGAUAAUGUAGUUCUUCUGAGACCACAGCCUUAGGCGGGAUCUCUUACUGGGAGUUUUGUGCCUGCCAGGCAGCACCAAGGUCUUACAGCACAGUUCCUUCUCCUGCUGACAGGCAGGAGGUUUACAUUUCUACUGAGGACACAUUCAGACUGAAGCUGUGACUGAAGCACUGACUGAAGCAGAUGAAGCAGCCCUAAGACUGAUGCAUCCAGGUCACUGCUCCUGCUAUCUGCCAGUGUUUUCCUAGCCCCAGAAGAGAACAAACUGCCCAGGAAAUAGUACCCUGAGGAAAACCAGCACUGGGCCUUCAGGACUACAGAAAAUGUUACUCUUUAACUGCUCCCUGGUCUGAGAUGGCUUAGAGUGCCUUACCUCUUCUACCACACAGCUCUGCCAGAAGAUCUGAAGCACCUUGUAAACCUUACACCUUCCAGAGGUACAAGUGCUUAUUUCUCACAAUCACAGCUGAAGAGAUUCUUUAGUGGACACUGUGCAAAUAAAGUCCAUGCACCACAGACAUCCACAUCCUGCAGAUGUUGGUAUUCCUAUCAUACACAAUUUCUUCAGUUUUGUCAGCCAAGAAGUAGAAGUAGAAUUGCAUUUUCCUUGACACAUGAUGUGUAUAUCAUGAUCUCAAUAUUUUGGUUUCCCAUGGCCUUUUACAAUAAAGGUUCUAAAUUUGCUGCCAAGAUUUGGAAUAGUUGGAUGGAGCUAAUUUUUAUAAUUAUGUGGAAGUUUUUCAGAGUUUUUAGUACAGUGAAGACUGUGGACUAUUUCUCCUGGGCAACAUACUUUCCCUCAAUGUUCACCCAGACUGACAGACCAAAUUUUGUUCUCUCUUCCUUUGAAUUAUGGAAUCCUAGAAUCACAAAAUCAUAG
This 948-nucleotide long non-coding RNA is filed under the name Meleagris gallopavo (turkey). RNAcentral describes it as "lncRNA (ENSMGAG00000021201.1)". The record is from RNAcentral. Lineage: Eukaryota; Metazoa; Chordata; Aves; Galliformes; Phasianidae.